AUAUAUAUAUAUAUAUAAACAGUUGUUACAAUCCCAAUCAUCAUAAAAUCUGUAGAGUCCUCUUCCAAUCUUAACAUCGUAGACAACGUUUGGAUUUCUGCAAGUGGAGUGGGUACUUAUUACUCUCCAGGUAUUCCUGUCCUGCAUGAAGUUGUUGUCAACUGUAUAGAGUCCGUCUUCCUUAAUAAGUAUAGUGAAAGAGCUUGUUUCAAGGAACAGUAAAUGGUUGUUGUCAUAAAGCGUUGUCCACUCAGCAGCAUUAAGCCAACUUUGGGUUGAUGCUUUAAGUACAUGUGCGACAUCUGGCAAAUAUAGCAUCAAAAUAUAUUAGAUUUGUAGAUAUAUAAAUAACUAUCUUAGUUUUGCUACAAUGUCUUCUUCAAUUAGAAUUUUCCAAGCAUCAGUUCUAUCACAAACCUUCUCCUAGAUCUCCCUAGAAUCCAGAUCUGCUACAUUCUUAGAUUUUUAAAUCUUGCCUAAGUGUUACAAAUUCCAUAGAUCUUGCAUUCCCUAAAUCUUGAUGUUCUAAAAUUUCUAAAUACAAUGCCUCGAUUUCCCAAAUUCGCCACAGUAUCUCGAUGAUCUCCUUCAAAACUAAAAGAGUUUUUAACUAACCAAAUACUCAAAUACUCCUAAUUUGUAUUCUUAACCCUUUAACCAUAGCCUAAACAAUACCCAAUUUUUAAAAUAAUAAAUAAACACUUACAUUGUUUUUAUUGCUUUCUUUGUAAACUAUGAAUUUUUUUUU
This 748-nucleotide small RNA is filed under the name Arabidopsis thaliana (thale cress). RNAcentral's name for it is "ATSL101070". Lineage: Eukaryota; Viridiplantae; Streptophyta; Magnoliopsida; Brassicales; Brassicaceae. The record is from RNAcentral.